This 487-nucleotide ribosomal RNA is filed under the name uncultured soil bacterium. RNAcentral describes it as "bacterial SSU rRNA". It matches the Rfam family "Bacterial small subunit ribosomal RNA", at positions 26 to 518 of the family's 1533-position model. The record is from RNAcentral.
AGGAUGAACGCUGGCGGCGUGCUUAACACAUGCAAGUCGAGGGGGGCCCAGCAAUGGGCAACCGGCGAACGGGUGCGUAACACGUGAGCAACCUACCGAAUUGUGGGGGAUAGCCGGCCCAACGGCCGGGCAAUACCGCAUACGCUCGAGACCAGGCAUUUGGACUCGGGGAAAUUUACGGAGCAUUCCGAGGGGCUCGCGGCCUAUCAGCUAGUUGGUGAGGUAACGGCUCACCAAGGCUACGACGGGUAGCUGGUCUGAGAGGAUGGCCAGCCACAUUGGGACUGAGAUACGGCCCAGACUCCUACGGGAGGCAGCAGUGGGGAAUCUUGCGCAAUGGCCUAAACGGCCGACGCAGCGACGCCGCGUGGAGGGAUGACGCUCUUCGGAGUGUAAACCUCUUUGUCUGAGACGAACUGUCAGUCUUUAGCUGAUUUAGACGGUAUCGGGACGAAUAAGCACCGGCUAACUCCGCGCCAGCAGCCGC